RNAcentral lists this ribosomal RNA (200 nucleotides) under uncultured bacterium. RNAcentral describes it as "partial 16S ribosomal RNA". It matches the Rfam family "Bacterial small subunit ribosomal RNA", at positions 8 to 226 of the family's 1533-position model. The record is from RNAcentral.
AGAGUUUGAUCCUGGCUCAGAACGAACGCUGGCGGCAGGCUUAACACAUGCAAGUCGAGCGGGUGCAGCAAUGCAUCAGCGGCGGACGGGUGAGUAACGCGUGGGAACAUACCCUUCGGUUCGGAAUAACUCAGGGAAACUUGAGCUAAUACCGGAUACGUCCAGGAGCAAUUCUGGGGAAAGAUUUAUCGCCGAAGGAU